RNAcentral lists this ribosomal RNA (402 nucleotides) under Verrucomicrobiota bacterium. Its description in RNAcentral is "Verrucomicrobia bacterium partial 16S ribosomal RNA". It matches the Rfam family "Bacterial small subunit ribosomal RNA", at positions 355 to 776 of the family's 1533-position model. Lineage: Bacteria; Pseudomonadati; Verrucomicrobiota. The record is from RNAcentral.
UGGGGAAUUUUUCACAAUGGGGGAAACCCUGAUGCAGCGACGCCGCGUGAUUUAGAAGGCCUUCGGGUUGUAAAAAUCUUUUGUAUGGGAAGAAAAUGACAGUACCAUACGAAUAAGGACCGGCUAAUAACGUGCCAGCAGCCGCGGUAAUACGUAAGGUCCGAGCGUUGUCCGGAAUCAUUGGGCGUAAAGGGUACGUAGGCGGAUAAGCAAGUUAGAAGUGAAAUCCUAUAGCUCAACUAUAGUAAGCUUUUAAAACUGCUCAUCUUGAGGUAUGGAAGGGAAAGUGAAAUUCCUAGUGUAGCGGUGAAAUGCGCAGAUAUUAGGAGGAAUACCGGUGGCGAAGGCGACUUUCUGGCCAUAUACUGACGCUGAGGUACGAAAGCGUGGGUAGCAAACAGG